Molecule: regulatory RNA element, 142 nt
Organism: Paenibacillus larvae subsp. larvae DSM 25430
Lineage: Bacteria; Bacillati; Bacillota; Bacilli; Caryophanales; Paenibacillaceae
Rfam family: Ribosomal protein L10 leader
About the family: This family is a putative r-protein leader autoregulatory structure found in B. subtilis and other low-GC Gram-positive bacteria. It is located in the 5' untranslated regions of mRNAs encoding ribosomal proteins L10 and L12 (rplJ-rplL).
Source: Rfam
UGAAAUUGAAUAUGAAAACCGUAGACAGCAGGUGCCGAAAGGCUUAAUAUCCCGCCGAGGUGUUAUGAUAUAUGAUUCGAUCUUCUCGAUUGAAUGCCGUCAUGCCUUCGUGUCGUCUACGAAGGCAUUUCUUAAUUUACUU